This is a long non-coding RNA of Oreochromis aureus, 364 nucleotides long. The record is from Ensembl. NCBI's taxonomy places the organism in Eukaryota, Metazoa, Chordata, Actinopteri, Cichliformes, Cichlidae.
GGCAAACACUGGUCUGACCCACCUGUGGUUAAUCAGCAACCAGUUCACUGUGGAAGGGAUCAGGCAGCUCGCUGAGGCCCUCACUCACAACAAAGGACUCAAAGAGAUAUGCGUGAAAGGAAACCGGCUCUCUGAAGAGGAAGAGCAGCAGUUUGUGUCAGAGAAGCGGCUGCGGUUCCACUGACUGGGCACCUCACAUGACGCAUGCACAGAGCUGUGUGAAGGAGGAAGUGUGUGCACUCGGUCUGUGUGCGCGAUGCUGGUGUCAGCAAACGGAUUUGGUGCAGUUUCACCCGAUGCUGUGGGGAUAAAGUCGCACCACCUCCAUAGUCUGUUUUUAUUUAUUUAUUAUUCUUAAUGGAAG